AAUGUCCUCAAGUUUACUACAAACAUUAGAGUCACUGACUAACUGAUCGGAUUUCGGCAGUCAAAGAUCCUGGUGGCCUGUUUGGCGGAGUCAUACAAUCGCAGUGCGGUAACUCCAGUUUGUUUUUUCCAGGUGGCGGCUAAAGCUCUGGAGGCAGCGGUUUACGGAGCAUACUACAACGUGAUGAUCAACCUCCGUGACAUCACAGAUGACGCCUUCACCGCAGCUACUCAGCAGAGAGCUUCCACGUUACUGCAGGACGCCAAGGACGCCGCCACCGCCAUCCUCGCUGCAGCUGACCAGAGGAAGUGAAGACGUCAGAUCUGAGAGGACACCGCCGCUGCCACGUCUAUAAAAUCCAUACUGAUUUGAUCUAAACUUAUUUGUUAGCUGUUGGUUACUGACUAACUAAGUACAUUUACUCAACUUCAACUGAGAGGUACUUCAGUUAUUACUUCAAUUAUUAUUUCACUACAAUUCAGAGGGAAAUACUGUACCACAGUAAUCUGACUGGAGUAUUUGGAUUACUCAGACUGGAUUAGUUACAUUAGUCUGACUGGAGUAGUUACAUUAGUUACAUUACUCUGACUGGAGUAGUUACAUUAGUUACAUUACUCUGACUGGAGUAGUUACUGACUUAUUUUUACGUCUGAGUCAUGUGACAUGACGUCGUCUCUCAGUUGUAACAGAUUCAUCAAAUAAAAACAUUUAAAUAAAUAAUAAAUCUUCAACAUCACAGUUACUUCCAUUAACUCAAACAUCAAAUAAAUACAUGUGUAAAAAUGUU
Non-coding RNA from Paralichthys olivaceus (Japanese flounder), 787 nucleotides. NCBI's taxonomy places the organism in Eukaryota, Metazoa, Chordata, Actinopteri, Pleuronectiformes, Paralichthyidae. The record is from RefSeq and is a predicted model, not a curated record.